UGGGGAAUAUUGGACAAUGGGCGAAAGCCUGAUCCAGCCAUGCCGCGUGUGUGAAGAAGGUCUUCGGAUUGUAAAGCACUUUAAGUUGGGAGGAAGGGCAUUAACCUAAUACGUUAGUGUUUUGACGUUACCGACAGAAUAAGCACCGGCUAACUCUGUGCCAGCAGCCGCGGUAAUACAGAGGGUGCAAGCGUUAAUCGGAAUUACUGGGCGUAAAGCGCGCGUAGUGUGUUUGUUAAGUUGGAUGUGAAAUCCCCGGGCUCAACCUGGGAACUGCAUUCAAAACUGACUGACUAGAGUAUGGUAGAGGGUGGUGGAAUUUCCUGUGUAGCGGUGAAAUGCGUAGAUAUAGGAAGGAACACCAGUGGCGAAGGCGACCACCUGGACUAAUACUGACACUGAGGUGCGAAAGCGUGGGGAGCAAACA
Molecule: ribosomal RNA, 427 nt
Filed under: uncultured bacterium
Lineage: Bacteria
Description: partial 16S ribosomal RNA
Rfam family: Bacterial small subunit ribosomal RNA
Source: RNAcentral